Molecule: long non-coding RNA, 1104 nt
Organism: Andrographis paniculata
Lineage: Eukaryota; Viridiplantae; Streptophyta; Magnoliopsida; Lamiales; Acanthaceae
Exons: 5
Source: RefSeq, a predicted model, not a curated record
UUGGGAAGAAAAUUAUUUCAUUCGAAAAUACGAAAGGAAUUCGAGAAGGAAUUAAAAUUGGAUGAUUCUUUAUUUUUUUUUUUGGCAAACCAUUUUUUCGAAGAUAAGCUAUUUCAACAGCGGUGGGUCUGCGAUUCUCUCUUUCUGAGUGACAAAGAUUCAUCCCCCAAUUAAAACCAGCACAUAUGUGAUUCUCUCUUCUCGAGGGACCGACGACGGCGGGUGCUCAAACACAGUCUGGAUUCUGGUGGAGCCGAAGGCGCAACUGCAAUUGGUUCAUUGAAUUUAUUGUAGGCACCAUGAAGAAUAUCUCGCAACCGCAGUCUUAGGAGGAAAGUAUUGUGGCUGUAAAGAUCACUGCGAUAAAGCAGGCAAUCUUGCUGGCAACCGCUUCUCAUUCUGAGCUGAAUGCAGACACCCAUCGGCAUUAUUUUUUCAUGAAGAUGGAGGACGAGAGUAGCCAAGACAGCACCAGUCCUGUCUUGUUUGUGCACACAAAGCCUAAAGAUAGCACGCAGUCUUGAGAUUGAUUUAUUCUAUUUUCAGCAAGUCUACUCCAAAAAAUGAUGAUCACAGACAGCCCUUACUGAAACCAUUUGCAAGGAAAUGGGGAGUGUUCGGAGAUUAUAAAUAAACCCACCUCAUUGCUUCAAAGAUUCAAUUUCAGAAUAAGAAAAUGUUAUUUUGUCAUUUUCCCAACACCUCCUUUCUUCAUAAUCGUUUAUAGAAGAAGCUUCAUUGGCGUACUCAAUGCAGUCCUUUGGAUUCGUGAUUUCUUUUGACUGAAUAUCAAGUAGGCCUUAGUACAUUGUGUGUUCCUUAAAAUGAUGGGGCUUCUGGUCACUAUGCACUGCGCUCAUAACUUCGAUUAGGAUUGCUUCAAAGGUGCCUUUUCUGGUCAAUAUUUCAUACAGGGAGGACAUACGGUGGAACAAGGAAGCUUCGAGCACCGAAAACCAUUAUGAAAUUGCAUCCAGACCCUAGAUAUAUGUAUUUAGUUGCACACGAUUACAACUCGAAACUAUAUGCAUUGUAUUCAACAAUAUAUAUAAGUCGAUCAGGACAUUAUAUAAUUAGUUGUGAAACUUUCUAUUGUCCACGAAA